RNAcentral lists this ribosomal RNA (478 nucleotides) under uncultured bacterium. RNAcentral's name for it is "partial 16S ribosomal RNA". It matches the Rfam family "Bacterial small subunit ribosomal RNA", at positions 28 to 507 of the family's 1533-position model. The record is from RNAcentral.
GAUGAACGCUGGCGGCGUGCUUAACACAUGCAAGUCGAACGAGAAAUGGAGACGGAAAUCUUCGGGAGGAAGGCUUCAUUUCUAGUUGCGGACGGGUGAGUAACGCGUGGGUAACCUGCCUCAUACAGGGGGAUAACAGUAGGAAACGACUGUUAAUACCGCAUAAGACUACAGCACCGCAUGGUGCGGGGGUAAAAACUCCGGUGGGAUGAGAUGGACCCGCGUUCGAUUAGCCAGUUGGCGGGGGAACGGCCCGGCACAGCGACGAUCGAUAGCCGAUCUGAGAGGAUGACCGGCCACGUUGGGACUGAGACACGGCCCAAACUCCGACGCAAGGCAGCAGUGGGGAAUACUACACGAUGAGGGAAGACGUGAUGCAGCGACGCCGCGUGAGUGAAGAAGUACUUCGGUAUGUAAAGCUCUAUCAGCAGGGAAGAAAAUGACGGUAGCUGAGUAAGAAGCCCCGGCUAACUACGUG